This 439-nucleotide ribosomal RNA is filed under the name uncultured bacterium. RNAcentral describes it as "bacterial SSU rRNA". It matches the Rfam family "Bacterial small subunit ribosomal RNA", at positions 343 to 797 of the family's 1533-position model. The record is from RNAcentral.
UGGAGGCAGCAGUGAGGAAUCUUCCACAAUGGGCGCAAGCCUGAUGGAGCGACGCCGCGUGCGCGAAGAAGCCCUUCGGGGUGUAAAGCGCUUUUCCCAGGGAUGAAGCUCUGACAGUACCUGGGGAAGAAGCCUCGGCUAACUACGUGCCAGCAGCCGCGGUAAUACGUAGGAGGCAAGCGUUGUCCGGAAUCACUGGGCGUAAAGCGCGUGUAGGUGGUACGACAAGUCUGCUGUGAAAGCGCCUGGCUUAACCGGGCGAGGUCGGCGGAAACUGUCGCACUUGAGGACGGUAGAGGGGGGUGGAAUUCCCGGUGUAGUGGUGAAAUGCGUAGAGAUCGGGAGGAACACCUGUGGCGAAGGCGGCCCCCUGGGCCGGCCCUGACACUGAGACGCGAAGGCGUGGGGAGCGAACGGGAUUAGAUACCCGCGUAGUCCG